CAGCCGCCGCGGGAAUACGAAGGGUGCAAGCGUUAAUAGGAAUUACUGGGCGUAAAGCGUGCGUAGGCGGUUUGUUAAGUCUGUUGUGAAAUCCCCGGGCUCAACCUGGGAAUGGCAAUGGAUACUGGCAAGCUGGAGUGUGUCAGAGGAUGGUGGAAUUCCCGGUGUAGCGGUGAAAUGCGUAGAGAUCGGGAGGAACAUCAGUGGCGAAGGCGGCCAUCUGGGACAACACUGACGCUGAGGCACGAAAGCGUGGGGAGCAAACAGGAUUAGAUACCCCCGUAGUCCCUGUCUCUUAUAC
This 301-nucleotide ribosomal RNA is filed under the name uncultured bacterium. Its description in RNAcentral is "partial 16S ribosomal RNA". It matches the Rfam family "Bacterial small subunit ribosomal RNA", at positions 509 to 807 of the family's 1533-position model. The record is from RNAcentral.